This 235-nucleotide ribosomal RNA is filed under the name uncultured bacterium. RNAcentral describes it as "partial 16S ribosomal RNA". It matches the Rfam family "Bacterial small subunit ribosomal RNA", at positions 96 to 334 of the family's 1533-position model. The record is from RNAcentral.
CGGCGGACGGGGGAGUAAUGUAUGGGGAUCUGCCUGAUGGCGGGGGGUAACUACUGGAAACGGUAGCUAAUACCGCAUAAUGUCUACGGACCAAAGCGGGGGACCUCCGGGCCUCGCGCCAUCAGAUGAACCCAUACGGGAUUAGCUUGUAGGUAAGGUAACGGCUUACCUAGGCGACGAUCCCUAGCUGGUCUGAGAGGAUGAUCAGCCACACUGGGACUGAGACACGGCCCAG